CUGAUAGUAGGUAAUACUCCAUUUUUCUCUUAUUGGUUAUCUUUGUUAAGCUAUCACUCGACUGAUAGUAGGUAAUAUUUUGUUUAUCUCUGAUUGAUUACCUUUGUUAAGUUAUCACUUGGCUGGUAGUUGGUAAUCAUUUUGUUUCAGCUUAUUACCUUUGUUAAGUUAUCACUCGGCUGAUAGUAGGUAAUAUUUUGUUUACCUUUGAUUGGUUACCUUUGUUAAGCUAUCACUUGGCUGGUAGUUAGUAAUCAUUUUGUUUCAGCUUAUUACCUUUGU
This 282-nucleotide long non-coding RNA is filed under the name Lathyrus oleraceus (garden pea). RNAcentral describes it as "Pisum sativum (pea) long non-coding RNA (PSAT_LNC020836)". The record is from RNAcentral. Lineage: Eukaryota; Viridiplantae; Streptophyta; Magnoliopsida; Fabales; Fabaceae.